UGGGGAAUAUUGGACAAUGGGGGAAACCCUGAUCCAGCGACGCCGCGUGUGUGAAGAAGGCCUGCGGGUUGUAAAGCACUUUUAGUGGGGAUGAAAUGUGCAGGGUUAAUACCUCUGCAUUUUGACCUAACCCACAGAAAAAGCACCGGCUAACUCUGUGCCAGCAGCCGCGGUAAUACAGAGGGUGCAAGCGUUAAUCGGAAUUACUGGGCGUAAAGCGUGCGUAGACGGUUACAUAAGUCGGGUGUGAAAGCCCCGGGCUCAACCUGGGAAUUGCAUUCGAGACUGCGUAGCUAGGGUGCGGAAGAGGGAAGCGGAAUUUCCGGUGUAGCGGUGAAAUGCGUAGAUAUCGGAAGGAACACCAGUGGCGAAAGCGGCUUCCUGGUCCAGCACCGACGUUCAGGCACGAAAGCGUGGGGAGCAAACA
Molecule: ribosomal RNA, 427 nt
Filed under: uncultured bacterium
Lineage: Bacteria
Also listed under: 2 other names
Description: bacterial SSU rRNA
Rfam family: Bacterial small subunit ribosomal RNA
Source: RNAcentral